Non-coding RNA from Cloeon dipterum, 73 nucleotides. The record is from the annotation of a RefSeq genome assembly. Lineage: Eukaryota; Metazoa; Arthropoda; Insecta; Ephemeroptera; Baetidae.
GCCUCUUUAGCUCAGAGGUUAGAGCACUGGUCUCGUAAACCAGGGGUCGUGAGUUCGAUUCUCACAAGAGGCA